CGACACCCAACCAAGACGGCUAAUAGGAGGAGGGGAAGCAGAUAUACAGCUAUUCCCUGAGUUACGCGAAUAAUGCGUCCCGGAGACAUUUGUGUAUCUCAGAUUUUUGCCAAUUUCAAUGUUACCUGCUCUUCAGUUCACUCUAAAUUUGUAGAGCCCAUGCUGGGCCAAGGCAUAAAUCAAAAUCAACACCAAAAUUUAGUUACGCCUAAAAGGAAGGAAAUUACUCGAAAACUUGACAAUCGAUCUGGAAUCGUUACACCUAUCUUGAAAUUAACUAAUAAUGGUCUGAAAUUUAAAUCACAAGUAAUUUAUAAAAUACAAAACACUUAAACGAUCAUCGUUGGUCAUUGGUUUAGGUUCAGAUAUUAGCUCUUGAUGUCGGUAUCAUUUAAAAAUGUUAUGCCAA
Anopheles merus is the source of this 409-nucleotide long non-coding RNA. RefSeq lists it as uncharacterized. NCBI's taxonomy places the organism in Eukaryota, Metazoa, Arthropoda, Insecta, Diptera, Culicidae. The transcript has 3 exons. The record is from RefSeq and is a predicted model, not a curated record.